This is an RNA transcript of Raphanus sativus (radish), 1163 nucleotides long. RefSeq lists it as uncharacterized. NCBI's taxonomy places the organism in Eukaryota, Viridiplantae, Streptophyta, Magnoliopsida, Brassicales, Brassicaceae. The transcript has 2 exons. The record is from RefSeq and is a predicted model, not a curated record.
GUUGGCCUAUGAUGACAUCACAAACUGUAAACGUGAAUGAUUACUUGGCGGGUGAGAAAUGAACAUGUUAUAACGGUUAUCUAAUACCAAACCAAAAUGUGAAGAAGCAAGUAAAAGACGAGAAAGGCCCUACGCUAUAGAGAAAAUUCAAAUGAAGGAAAGAAAGUAAAACCCUCCUCCAAGUACUUUUUUCCUCUAAUUUUCUUCUUUAUUUUGAUCAUCAUUCACAUGACGCAACCCAAAUCUUUUUCUCACUUUUGCCUCACAAGUUAUUAUUAAAGUAUUUAGAAAAGAAACAAAAACAAAAUAUAGAGAGCUGCGAAUUCGGCUGCCAUGUAAGCAUAAACACAACACAAAGCAUGAUUGUGGUGUCAGGAGACUAGCUUUUGUGGCUCUAUAUAAGAGACUCUAUCUUCGUUUUGUUCUCUUUGUCCCUCUCUACCUUUCUUACAAAUCUCUCUCCUUUUACAAAUAUAUAAACACACUUCACUUCCUCUUCACCCCAUUCGAACACUCUUUACCUAAAGAGCAAGGUUUAUCGAAAUGGAGAGGCUAAACUCGAAGCUGUACUUGCAAAAUUGUUUUAUAAUAAAGGAGAAUGAAAGGUUGAGGAAGAAAGCUCAGAUUCUGAACCAGGAGAAUCAACAGCUUCUCUUUGAGCUCAAACAGAAGCUCUCCAAAACCAAGAACUCUAGUGGAUCAAACCAAGGAAGCAAUAACAACAUCUCUUCCUCAAGCUCUGCUUCUGGACAGUCUUGAUGCAGCAAAACUCUUAGGACAAGAAUUGGAUUUGCUAAGACUGAAAAAUCAUCAUGACCCUGCUCAAUUAGAAGAAUCCAUCUUUUCGUAUUUCUUCUUUUUAUCAGUGUAGUGUAAGAAAUUAGUAAAGGGUUAGUGGUGUUAUUAAGGUUAUAAACUAGUUCUUUUGUUGUUUAAUUUUAUUUUAAUUUGUGGGUUCUCUAUUUUGUUUACUACAAAAAGGACAAAAGUGUUGUGUCUCUCUGCCUAUCUUCUCAGAGGGAUAUUUCACUUUUGUUUCCAUUUAUAUGUUAAUUAGUUGCCCUUUUCAUGUGGGGUUUGGUUCUUUAGGAUUUGGUGGAUUCUGGGACUACAUUGUACUACCUUCUGCUCCUCUUAAACAACCAGUAUCUUUAUUAUUUUUA